RNAcentral lists this ribosomal RNA (505 nucleotides) under uncultured Bacillota bacterium. RNAcentral's name for it is "bacterial SSU rRNA". It matches the Rfam family "Bacterial small subunit ribosomal RNA", at positions 168 to 677 of the family's 1533-position model. Lineage: Bacteria; Bacillati; Bacillota. The record is from RNAcentral.
ACCGGAUAGGACGAAAGUUUAAAGGUGCUUCGGCACCACUGAUGGAUGAGCCUGCGGCGCAUUAGCUAGUUGGUAGGGUAAAGGCCUACCAAGGCGACGAUGCGUAGCCGACCUGAGAGGGUGAACGGCCACACUGGGACUGAGACACGGCCCAGACUCCUACGGGAGGCAGCAGUAGGGAAUCUUCGGCAAUGGGCGAAAGCCUGACCGAGCAACGCCGCGUGAAUGAUGAAGGCCUUCGGGUUGUAAAAUUCUGUUAUAAGGGAAGAAUGGCUCUAGUAGGAAAUGGCUAGAGUGUGACGGUACCUUAUGAGAAAGCCACGGCUAACUACGUGCCAGCAGCCGCGGUAAUACGUAGGUGGCGAGCGUUAUCCGGAAUUAUUGGGCGUAAAGAGCGCGCAGGUGGUUGAUUAAGUCUGAUGUGAAAGCCCACGGCUUAACCGUGGAGGGUCAUUGGAAACUGGUCAACUUGAGUGCAGAAGAGGGAAGUGGAAUUCCAUGUGUA